AUCCAACUGACGAGCCCCAAAUAGGACGAAACGCGCAUCUGACAU
RNAcentral lists this non-coding RNA (45 nucleotides) under Schistosoma curassoni. Lineage: Eukaryota; Metazoa; Platyhelminthes; Trematoda; Strigeidida; Schistosomatidae. The record is from RNAcentral.